AUUGAACGCUGGCGGCAUGCCUUACACAUGCAAGUCGAACGGUAACGCGGGGCAACCUGGCGACGAGUGGCGAACGGGUGAGUAAUGUAUCGGAACGUGCCCAGUUGUGGGGGAUAACUGCUCGAAAGAGCAGCUAAUACCGCAUACGACCUGAGGGUGAAAGCGGGGGAUCGCAAGACCUCGCGCAGUUGGAGCGGCCGAUAUCAGAUUAGGUAGUUGGUGGGGUAAAGGCUCACCAAGCCAACGAUCUGUAGCUGGUCUGAGAGGACGACCAGCCACACGGGGACUUAGACACGGCCCAGACUCCGACGGGAGUCAGCAGUGGGGAAUUUUGGACAAUGGGGGCAACCCUGAUCCAGCCAUGCCGCGUGCGGUAAGAAGGCCUUCGGGUUGUAAACCGCUUUUAUCAGGGAAGAAAAGACUCCUGUUAAUACCGGGGGUUCAUGACGGUACCUGAAGAAUAAGCAUCGGCUAACUACGUGCCAGCCGCCGCGGUAA
This 498-nucleotide ribosomal RNA is filed under the name uncultured bacterium. RNAcentral's name for it is "partial 16S ribosomal RNA". It matches the Rfam family "Bacterial small subunit ribosomal RNA", at positions 30 to 523 of the family's 1533-position model. The record is from RNAcentral.